RNAcentral lists this unclassified non-coding RNA (366 nucleotides) under Bombus terrestris (buff-tailed bumblebee). Its description in RNAcentral is "misc RNA ENSBTSG00005037340.1". Lineage: Eukaryota; Metazoa; Arthropoda; Insecta; Hymenoptera; Apidae. The record is from RNAcentral.
UUGUCAUUAGUCUUAUUGCUUUUGGCGGAAGGUUUUUCAAGAUUUUACCAUUGAUUAGGUCGAUUCCUGGUGCUUUGUUGUUUUUUGUUUUAUCAAUUAUGUUUCUAAUUUCUUGUGCUGAUGUUUUAGGUAUGGUGUAUUCCUUGUCGGUUGUGGUAAUAGUGGUUUUUGGAUCCUCCUCCGUAUGACUUUUGAGGUUGCUGUUGUUGAUAAUGUGUGGUGUGAAUGUGUUUUUUGUUUUCUCGAGUUCUGUAUUUUUACCAUUUUGCUUUUGCUUUUCUUUUUUCUCUAAUUUUGUCGAGUAUUUCUUUCGGUAUUGUUAUUGUUUGUCUGCUGGUUGAUUCGGGUGUAGUGGUUGUCCUUGCU